This 253-nucleotide ribosomal RNA is filed under the name uncultured bacterium. RNAcentral describes it as "partial 16S ribosomal RNA". It matches the Rfam family "Bacterial small subunit ribosomal RNA", at positions 524 to 776 of the family's 1533-position model. The record is from RNAcentral.
AACGUAGGGGGCGAGCGUUGCCCGGAUUCACUGGGCGUAAAGCGGGUGUAGGCGGUCCAUUAAGUCGGAUGUGAAAUCUCACGGCCCAACCGUGGAAUUGCAUCCGAAACUGGUGGACUUGAGGACGGCAGAGGCAGGUGGAAUACCGGGUGUACCGGUGAAAUGGGCAGAUAUCCGGUGGAACACCAGUGGCGAAGGCGGCCUGCUGGGCCGUUCCUGACGCUGAGACCCGAAAGCCAGGGGAGCAAACCGG